CACGUAGGGGGCGAGCGUUGUCCGGAUUUAUUGGGCGUAAAGAGCUCGUAGGCGGCUCGGUAAGUCGGGUGUGAAAACUCGGGGCUCAACCCCGAGACGCCACUCGAUACUGCUGUGGCUUGAGUCCGGUAGGGGAGCGUGGAAUUCCUGGUGUAGCGGUGAAAUGCGCAGAUAUCAGGAGGAACACCGGUGGCGAAGGCGGCGCUCUGGGCCGGUACUGACGCUGAGGAGCGAAAGCGUGGGGAGCGAACAGG
Molecule: ribosomal RNA, 254 nt
Filed under: uncultured bacterium
Lineage: Bacteria
Description: partial 16S ribosomal RNA
Rfam family: Bacterial small subunit ribosomal RNA
Source: RNAcentral